Molecule: ribosomal RNA, 467 nt
Filed under: uncultured bacterium
Lineage: Bacteria
Description: partial 16S ribosomal RNA
Rfam family: Bacterial small subunit ribosomal RNA
Source: RNAcentral
GAUGAACGCUGGCGGCGUGCUUAACACAUGCAAGUCGAACGAUGAAGCCCAGCUUGCUGGGUGGAUUAGUGGCGAACGGGUGAGUAACACGUGAGUAACCUGCCCUUGACUCUGGGAUAAGCCUGGGAAACUGGGUCUAAUACUGGAUAUGACUUCUCAUCGCAUGGUGGGGGGUGGAAAGAUUUAUUGGUCUUGGAUGGACUCGCGGCCUAUCAGCUUGUUGGUGAGGUAAUGGCUCACCAAGGCGACGACGGGUAGCCGGCCUGAGAGGGUGACCGGCCACACUGGGACUGAGACACGGCCCAGACUCCUACGGGAGGCAGAAGUGGGGAAUAUUGCACAAUGGGCGCAAGCCUGAUGCAGCGACGCCGCGUGAGGGAUGACGGCCUUCGGGUUGUAAACCUCUUUCAGUAGGGAAGAAGCGAGAGUGACGGUACCUGCAGAAGAAGCGCCGGCUAACUACGUGC